Molecule: ribosomal RNA, 2901 nt
Filed under: Escherichia coli
Lineage: Bacteria; Pseudomonadati; Pseudomonadota; Gammaproteobacteria; Enterobacterales; Enterobacteriaceae
Also listed under: 2 other names
Description: bacterial LSU rRNA
Rfam family: Bacterial large subunit ribosomal RNA
Source: RNAcentral
UUAAGCGACUAAGCGUACACGGUGGAUGCCCUGGCAGUCAGAGGCGAUGAAGGACGUGCUAAUCUGCGAUAAGCGUCGGUAAGGUGAUAUGAACCGUUAUAACCGGCGAUUUCCGAAUGGGGAAACCCAGUGUGAUUCGUCACACUAUCAUUAACUGAAUCCAUAGGUUAAUGAGGCGAACCGGGGGAACUGAAACAUCUAAGUACCCCGAGGAAAAGAAAUCAACCGAGAUUCCCCCAGUAGCGGCGAGCGAACGGGGAGCAGCCCAGAGCCUGAAUCAGUGUGUGUGUUAGUGGAAGCGUCUGGAAAGGCGCGCGAUACAGGGUGACAGCCCCGUACACAAAAAUGCACAUACUGUGAGCUCGAUGAGUAGGGCGGGACACGUGGUAUCCUGUCUGAAUAUGGGGGGACCAUCCUCCAAGGCUAAAUACUCCUGACUGACCGAUAGUGAACCAGUACCGUGAGGGAAAGGCGAAAAGAACCCCGGCGAGGGGAGUGAAAAAGAACCUGAAACCGUGUACGUACAAGCAGUGGGAGCACGCUUAGGCGUGUGACUGCGUACCUUUUGUAUAAUGGGUCAGCGACUUAUAUUCUGUAGCAAGGUUAACCGAAUAGGGGAGCCGAAGGGAAACCGAGUCUUAACUGGGCGUUAAGUUGCAGGGUAUAGACCCGAAACCCGGUGAUCUAGCCAUGGGCAGGUUGAAGGUUGGGUAACACUAACUGGAGGACCGAACCGACUAAUGUUGAAAAAUUAGCGGAUGACUUGUGGCUGGGGGUGAAAGGCCAAUCAAACCGGGAGAUAGCUGGUUCUCCCCGAAAGCUAUUUAGGUAGCGCCUCGUGAAUUCAUCUCCGGGGGUAGAGCACUGUUUCGGCAAGGGGGUCAUCCCGACUUACCAACCCGAUGCAAACUGCGAAUACCGGAGAAUGUUAUCACGGGAGACACACGGCGGGUGCUAACGUCCGUCGUGAAGAGGGAAACAACCCAGACCGCCAGCUAAGGUCCCAAAGUCAUGGUUAAGUGGGAAACGAUGUGGGAAGGCCCAGACAGCCAGGAUGUUGGCUUAGAAGCAGCCAUCAUUUAAAGAAAGCGUAAUAGCUCACUGGUCGAGUCGGCCUGCGCGGAAGAUGUAACGGGGCUAAACCAUGCACCGAAGCUGCGGCAGCGACACUGUGUGUUGUUGGGUAGGGGAGCGUUCUGUAAGCCUGCGAAGGUGUGCUGUGAGGCAUGCUGGAGGUAUCAGAAGUGCGAAUGCUGACAUAAGUAACGAUAAAGCGGGUGAAAAGCCCGCUCGCCGGAAGACCAAGGGUUCCUGUCCAACGUUAAUCGGGGCAGGGUGAGUCGACCCCUAAGGCGAGGCCGAAAGGCGUAGUCGAUGGGAAACAGGUUAAUAUUCCUGUACUUGGUGUUACUGCGAAGGGGGGACGGAGAAGGCUAUGUUGGCCGGGCGACGGUUGUCCCGGUUUAAGCGUGUAGGCUGGUUUUCCAGGCAAAUCCGGAAAAUCAAGGCUGAGGCGUGAUGACGAGGCACUACGGUGCUGAAGCAACAAAUGCCCUGCUUCCAGGAAAAGCCUCUAAGCAUCAGGUAACAUCAAAUCGUACCCCAAACCGACACAGGUGGUCAGGUAGAGAAUACCAAGGCGCUUGAGAGAACUCGGGUGAAGGAACUAGGCAAAAUGGUGCCGUAACUUCGGGAGAAGGCACGCUGAUAUGUAGGUGAAGUCCCUCGCGGAUGGAGCUGAAAUCAGUCGAAGAUACCAGCUGGCUGCAACUGUUUAUUAAAAACACAGCACUGUGCAAACACGAAAGUGGACGUAUACGGUGUGACGCCUGCCCGGUGCCGGAAGGUUAAUUGAUGGGGUCAGCGCAAGCGAAGCUCUUGAUCGAAGCCCCGGUAAACGGCGGCCGUAACUAUAACGGUCCUAAGGUAGCGAAAUUCCUUGUCGGGUAAGUUCCGACCUGCACGAAUGGCGUAAUGAUGGCCAGGCUGUCUCCACCCGAGACUCAGUGAAAUUGAACUCGCUGUGAAGAUGCAGUGUACCCGCGGCAAGACGGAAAGACCCCGUGAACCUUUACUAUAGCUUGACACUGAACAUUGAGCCUUGAUGUGUAGGAUAGGUGGGAGGCUUUGAAGUGUGGACGCCAGUCUGCAUGGAGCCGGCCUUGAAAUACCACCCUUUAAUGUUUGAUGUUCUAACGUUGACCCGUGAUCCGGGUUGCGGACAGUGUCUGGUGGGUAGUUUGACUGGGGCGGUCUCCUCCUAAAGAGUAACGGAGGAGCACGAAGGUUGGCUAAUCCUGGUCGGACAUCAGGAGGUUAGUGCAAUGGCAUAAGCCAGCUUGACUGCGAGCGUGACGGCGCGAGCAGGUGCGAAAGCAGGUCAUAGUGAUCCGGUGGUUCUGAAUGGAAGGGCCAUCGCUCAACGGAUAAAAGGUACUCCGGGGAUAACAGGCUGAUACCGCCCAAGAGUUCAUAUCGACGGCGGUGUUUGGCACCUCGAUGUCGGCUCAUCACAUCCUGGGGCUGAAGUAGGUCCCAAGGGUAUGGCUGUUCGCCAUUUAAAGUGGUACGCGAGCUGGGUUUAGAACGUCGUGAGACAGUUCGGUCCCUAUCUGCCGUGGGCGCUGGAGAACUGAGGGGGGCUGCUCCUAGUACGAGAGGACCGGAGUGGACGCAUCACUGGUGUUCGGGUUGUCAUGCCAAUGGCACUGCCCGGUAGCUAAAUGCGGAAGAGAUAAGUGCUGAAAGCAUCUAAGCACGAAACUUGCCCCGAGAUGAGUUCUCCCUGACUCCUUGAGAGUCCUGAAGGAACGUUGAAGACGACGACGUUGAUAGGCCGGGUGUGUAAGCGCAGCGAUGCGUUGAGCUAACCGGUACUAAUGAACCGUGAGGCUUAACCUU